RNAcentral lists this long non-coding RNA (349 nucleotides) under Elaeis guineensis (African oil palm). RNAcentral describes it as "long non-coding RNA (EGUI_LNC014330)". The record is from RNAcentral. Lineage: Eukaryota; Viridiplantae; Streptophyta; Magnoliopsida; Arecales; Arecaceae.
GCCUUUGGAGAAGGGAGGUGCUUAGAGUCGACCUCCGAUCCUAGGGCCAUAGAGACCCGCCUCCAAGCAAGCCAUCAGCUGCCCACCAUGGUUCGAAGAAGAGGGGAUAACACCAAUAGCAGAGGAUUGGGACAUAGACUCUUGAUUGAGCCCUUGCCAGUAGGAGGCAGAGGAUUCAUCAAGGAACAGGGGGACCUUAGGAGCCCAAUCCACCUCUUAGUUGAGGUAAGGAGAUGAUAAUAAGGAUUCGAUAUGUAAUGUCACCCAAAAGUCACCAAAUGGAGUUAGGAAUAGCUUUGAGAGAUUUAGACAAGGCAAGCACCUCAUAGAUGAGAUGUCUCUUCCCACU